Small nucleolar RNA from Varanus komodoensis (Komodo dragon), 131 nucleotides. NCBI's taxonomy places the organism in Eukaryota, Metazoa, Chordata, Lepidosauria, Squamata, Varanidae. The record is from Ensembl.
GUUGAGGCCUAUCCCGAUGGAGCUUUGCUGUAGGUUCUUGUCGUUGGAAAUGCCUCAAAGAGCAAACUUGUGGCUUCGCUUUACCCACUAAACUACGUAUUAGUUUGGUGGGAUAAAACUACAAGACAGUU